Molecule: ribosomal RNA, 497 nt
Filed under: uncultured bacterium
Lineage: Bacteria
Description: partial 16S ribosomal RNA
Rfam family: Bacterial small subunit ribosomal RNA
Source: RNAcentral
GACGAACGCUGGCGGCGUGCCUAAUACAUGCAAGUUGAGCGCUGAAGGUUGGUACUUGUCCCAACUGGAUGAGCAGCGAACGGGUGAGUAACGCGUGGGGAAUCUGCCUUUGAGCGGGGGACAACAUUUGGAAACGAAUGCUAAUACCGCAUAAAAACUUUAAACACAAGUUUUAAGUUUGAAAGAUGCAAUUGCAUCACUCAAAGAUGAUCCCGCGUUGUAUUAGCUAGUUGGUGAGGUAAAGGCUCACCAAGGCGAUGAUACAUAGCCGACCUGAGAGGGGGAUCGGCCACAUUGGGACUGAGACACGGCCAAAACUCCUACGGGAGGCAGCAGUAGGGAAUCUUCGGCAAUGGACGAAAGUCUGACCGAGCAACGCCGCGUGAGUGAAGAAGGGUUUCGGAUCGUAAAACUCUGUUGGUAGAGAAGAACGUUGGUGAGAGUGGAAAGCUCAUCAAGUGACGGUAACUACCCAGAAAGGGACGGCUAACUACGUG